UAUGGCUGUCGUCAGCUCGUGUCGUGAGAUGUUGGGUUAAGUCCCGCAACGAGCGCAACCCUUGUCUUCUGUUGCCAUCAGGUUAAGCUGGGCACUCUGAAGAGACUGCCGGUGAUAAACCGGAGGAAGGUGGGGAUGACGUCAAGUCAGCAUGGCCUUUAUGUCUGGGGCUACACACGUGCUACAAUGGCCGACACAAACCGUCGCAAAACCGCAAGGUCGAGCUAAUAGGAGAAAGUCGGUCUCAGUUCGGAUAGCAGGCUGCAACCCGCCUGCUCGAAGUUGGAAUCGCUAGUAAUCGCGGAUCAGCACGCCGCGGUGAAUACGUUCCCGGGCCUUGUACACACCGCCCGUA
RNAcentral lists this ribosomal RNA (355 nucleotides) under uncultured soil bacterium. RNAcentral's name for it is "bacterial SSU rRNA". It matches the Rfam family "Bacterial small subunit ribosomal RNA", at positions 1044 to 1398 of the family's 1533-position model. The record is from RNAcentral.